RNAcentral lists this ribosomal RNA (520 nucleotides) under uncultured fungus. Its description in RNAcentral is "SSU rRNA". It matches the Rfam family "Eukaryotic small subunit ribosomal RNA", at positions 32 to 554 of the family's 1831-position model. Lineage: Eukaryota; Fungi. The record is from RNAcentral.
UUGUCUCAAAGAUUAAGCCAUGCAUGUCUAAGUAUAAGCAACUUGUACUGUGAAACUGCGAAUGGCUCAUUAAAUCAGUUAUCGUUUAUUUGAUAGUACCUUACUACAUGGAUACCUGUGGUAAUUCUAGAGCUAAUACAUGCUAAAAACCCCGACUUCAGGAAGGGGUGUAUUUAUUAGAUAAAAAACCAACGCCCUUCGGGGCUCCUUGGUGAAUCAUAAUAACUUAACGAAUCGCAUGGCCUUGCGCCGGCGAUGGUUCAUUCAAAUUUCUACCCUAUCAACUUUCGAUGGUAGGAUAGUGGCCUACCAUGGUGGCAACGGGUAACGGGGGGUUAGGGCUCGACCCCGGAGAAGGAGCCUGAGAAACGGCUACUACAUCCAAGGAAGGCAGCAGGCGCGCAAAUUACCCAAUCCCGACACGGGGAGGUAGUGACAAUAAAUACUGAUACAGGGCUCUUUUGGGUCUUGUAAUCGGAAUGAGUACAAUUUAAAUCCCUUAACGAGGAACAAUUGGAGG